Molecule: long non-coding RNA, 4442 nt
Filed under: Anolis carolinensis (green anole)
Lineage: Eukaryota; Metazoa; Chordata; Lepidosauria; Squamata; Anolidae
Description: lncRNA (ENSACAG00000039152.1)
Source: RNAcentral
AACAGCCUGGCGAACAAUAUAUUACCCACGACCACAGGGAACCGCCGAAAGGCUAAACGGAGGGCUGCACAGCAAGGACCAAGUACAGAGAGCACAAUAAUCCCAAAUAAACAGUUCGAGAGGAGGUCACAGGGGCUUACAUGUCUUUACACUAAUGCUCAGAGCAUGGGAAAUAAGCAAGACGAACUCCAACUCCUAGCACAGCACCACACAUACGAUGUCAUAGGCAUCACUGAAACCUGGUGGGAUGACUCCCAUCACUGGAAUUUAACCAUUGAGGGCUAUAACCUCUUUCACAGAAAUAGAACAAAGGGGAGAGGAGGGGGAGUAGCUUUAUAUGUCAAAAACAGUUAUGUUGCAGAAGAAAUGCAAGACUGUAAUCCGGGAAACCAGCUUGAAAGCAUCUGGAUAAGAAUCAAGGGAACCGGGACUCAAAAAGAUCUUGUCGUGGGUGUCUACUACAGACCUCCGAGUCAGGAUGAAGGACUUGAUGAAGCCUUCUGUCAACAGCUGACCAAACAGGCACAAAGAAGAGAUAUAGUAGUCAUGGGCGAUUUCAAUUAUCCCGAUAUCUGCUGGAAAACAAACUCAGCCAAGAGUACAAAGUCCAACAAAUUCCUCACUUGCCUUGCAGAUAAUUUUAUGGUCCAGAAGGUAGAAGAGGCAACAAGGGGAUCAGCAACUCUUGAUCUAAUCUUAACAAAUGAUUCUCCCAGACAAGAAGAAGCCAGCCUUGAGGCCACAGGGCCAUCAAAUGCUAAUCAAGGUGAUUAAUUACAACAACACCUGCCUCCAACAGACAAAGGUUCUUUCUCCCACCCUGGAUCUUCCACAGAUAUAUAAACCUCACUGACUUAGUUUCCAAUAUACCACACAACCUCUGAGGAUGUUUGCCAUAGAUGUAGGUGAAAUGUCAGGAGAUAAUACUUCUGGAACAUGGCCACACAGCCCGAAAGACAUACAACAACCCUAAAGGGUAAACGUUUUCCCCUGACAUUAAGUCCAGUCAUGUCUUAUUUCGGGGUUUUGGUGCUCAUCUCCAUUUCUAAGCCAAAGAGCCAGCGUUGUCCGUAGACUCCUCCAAGGUCAUGUGGGAUGACUGCAUGGAGCGGUGUUACCUUCCCGCUGGAGCAGUACCUAUUGAUGCACGCAAAUUUGCAUGUUUUUGAACUUCUGGGUUGGCAGAAGCUGGGGCUAACAGUGAGGGCUCACUCUGGUCCCCCAAUUCAAACCUGCUGCGGCCUUUCAGUCCAGAAUUUCAGCAGCUCAGCGCUUUCACACGCUGUGCCAUCAGGGGAUAUUAUUUCUUAAAGGUUGUGAAUAUACAAUAUUUCUGAUUGUUUUUUUUUUGUCUGUUAGAGGCAAGUAUGAAUGCUGCAAUUAGGAAAAAUGAUAAGGAUGUAAUGGCCUUGCAGCUUUACAGCCUGGCUGUUUCCUCUCUGAGUGAGUUUUUUGUUGGGAGGUGUCAGCUGGCCCUGAUUGUUUCCUGUCUGGAAUUCCCCUGUUUUCAGAGUGGUGUUCUUUGCGAUAUUUUAUGUGCUUCUACUGUCUGUGGCCGUGAGAAAACAGAGGAUUUACCAGACUUUGAUGAUGGGAAUACUUUGUUGGGAGGUGUUAGCUGGCCCUGAUUGUUUCCUGUCUGGAAUUCUGUUAACACUUCCAAUAUCCGUGGCCAGCAGUGAAAGGAGUUUUUCAAAAUUGAAACUUAUAAAAAAUUACUUAAGAUCUACUGUGAGUCAAGAGCGCUUGAGUGGACUAUCAACCUUGGCCACUGAAAAUAGCUUGUUGGAUGACAUGGACACAGAUUCCCUAGUACAUGAGUUUUCCAAAUUGAAAGUCAGAAAAAUCAGGUUUUAAUUUUUAAAAGUGUUCAAGUUAAUUUGUGUUAAGGAAAACUGGAUGUUAAAAUAUCCACUCAAGUGAAGGGGCCAUAGGCUGGCUAUGUUGCCACUCCCAUUACAAUAGUCCACACUGGUGUGGCACAUCUGAAGGACAAGAGUUCACUUCCUGAGAAAGGAAGUGUCUAUUCUCCUGGGGCUGCGUUCUCCCAAACAAAACUGAUCUGAAGCUAGUCCGAAGUCUGAAAAAUCUUCUGAAGAGAUAUCAUGACCAGGAAACCUUUGUGUAGUACUUGUAGACUAGAAAUAACAAAAAAAUUAAAAUUGUUGCAAAGUUUAUUAAAAUAUUUAUUUAUUAAAAUGCAAGAUUGGCGUUAAUUCUAUGUAAUGUUACUAUAUGAAUAUAAUGUUGUUAAUAAACUUCUGGUUGUAAGGUAAACUCUUUUAUCCAUUCUAUUCACCUCUACCUUCUACCUUUUAUUUCUCGGUGAUUGGGUUUUUUUAGGAGGGGGGGGCACCAAAAUCCUGUUUCGCUUACACUUGAAAAUUUCCUUGGGCCGGCCCUGGUAGUAGUAUUUGAAGUCUGUUACCUUCUUCAAUGUUUGUGUUGUUUGAUAAUUGGUUGAGAUCCCUGUUGUCUUUGGUUUAUUGUUAAUCGUAAUGUCUGAUUCUGCUGAGUGCGGUUUAUAUUUUUAUUGUGGUAGAAUCGUCUUUUUUUUUUGCCUGUGUAGGUGUUUAUUAUUAUUGGUGUUGUAGUGGUCAUGAAGGUUGGAUAAGUUAGAUGCUACUGUAUUGUUUUUUGGAGGACCAGUGUAGCACUGACUGGCCUCUCAGCCUCAGUGCCUGGCUGCUUCCUGCCUGUGAUGGUGUUGAUUCUUAUUGUUGUUGUUGUCAUUGUUAUUAUUGUAAUUGUUUUUUUGGAGGCCAAGUGUGAAUGUAGGGAUUGGGCAGGUGGAUGAGCACUGAAUGGCCUUGUAGACUCAGUGCAUGGCUGAUUCUUGCCGGUGUAGGUGUUUAUUAUUAGUGGGUGAGUGGAUGGAUUGUCACCUUGCUGUGGUGAGGGGGCUUGCGUGUUCUGAUGAACCUGUGGGCACAACCACUGGAGUGAUGCACUCCCAGGAGUGGCCUCAGGGGAGGUUCCAGACCAAGCACAAUCCGAAGACCCAAAGACCUCAACGGCAGAGCAGGCGGAGGAUAACAUGGUACAUGUUACAACAGCUGUGAAGGCAGAAGAAGGCUGCAAUAGACUGAGAAGCCACUCUUGUUGUGUUAACCACACCACUGCUGGAACCUCACUCUGUGAAGACUGUGUGUUGACCGGCCGUGCACUGAUCUCCACACAUUUAAAAAAAUCAUGCACAGGUGUUGUGCUGUCUUACUGGGUUCCUAUCCCCUGCUUAUUUUCUGCUUUGCUGUUCCUGGGUGGAAUGUUCCAUUGGCUCCUGUUUUGGGGGUGGAGCUUGGGACUCCCCUUUAGGUUUGUAUGAGUUGGUUCAGCCUGUGAGCUAGGCUCUAGAGGCUUUUUCCCUCCAUUUGGGAUUUGGGAAAAACCUCUUAGAGAUAGGUCAAAGAACCCAGACCAAAGUCUCUUCCAACAAAAAUAAAAACAAACCUACAAAAGUCCCAUGACGAUCAGCGAGUGGCGACGGGGGCAGGACUGUGAAAUCUGGAAGCCCCUAGUCACAGACUGGCACAUGGGCGGUGGAUAUGGACUCAGUCGUUCUACCUCAAGGACCGAGGCAGUUGAGUAGUCCGGCAGCUGUAUCCAUGAAUGAGCAGCCCUUUUUAGGAUCCGCUCUGCUCAACCCACAUGGGGAAGGGGCUAGAAAAGGUGCCCUAAACAUAGUCUGCCUCUCCUACCCUGACUGGACUGCCGCAUCCAGAGGGGUCACCACUCUGCGGCCAAAAAAGAGAAAUGAACUUUGGAACAUGGAACGUACGGACACUGUUGGAUAACACUGACAGCGAACGCCCUGGGACGCUUUAAGAUCGACAUAGCAGCCCUUCAGGAGACCCAGAGAGCAGGAGAGGGACAGCUGAAGGAAGAAAAGGGAGGCUACACCUUCUUCUGGAAGGGACUGCCUGAAGAAGAGCGAAGAAUACACGGAGUUGGCUUUGCUAUCAGAAACGACCUGGUGAAGCACCUGACUGAAGCACCCACUGGCAUCAAUGAACGACUUUCAAACCUCCGAAUUAACCUUGCCAAAAACCAACAGGCAACCAUCAUAUGCACCUAUGUACCAACUCUAGAUGCUGACGAAGACAUCAAGGAAAAUUUUUACUGUCAGCUGGACACCAUCCUAUUGGAGAUACCUAAGGAGGACAAAAUUCAUACUAUGCUUGAUUCUGCUUUGUUUCCUUCUUUUGCAUUCCAAUUACCAAUGAUUAUCAACAUGACCUGUUUUGGUAUGCAUUAGAUUUCCCCCUGGACUUCUGUGCUGAUGGUAACAGUCUUUCCAUUUUUCCUUCUUCUGCUGUCCCUGUAGUGGAAGCAUAAUCAUGGAUUGUGGUUAUAUUGAUAAUUUCCCCCCAAAAUCUUACUCCUAUUGUUUGGUUACAUUUGCACUGAACCUCCCUGAAUUCACUUGCUCCAUUUCACUUCUC